GGAGGAGUUCCCGAGUGGCCAAAGGGGACAGACUGUAAAUCUGCUGCUUAACGCUUCGGUGGUUCGAAUCCACCCUCCUCCACCA
This 85-nucleotide transfer RNA is filed under the name Flavonifractor plautii. RNAcentral's name for it is "tRNA-Tyr(gta)". It matches the Rfam family "tRNA". From Rfam's summary of the family: Transfer RNA (tRNA) molecules are approximately 80 nucleotides in length. Their secondary structure includes four short double-helical elements and three loops (D, anti-codon, and T loops). RNAcentral also lists the same sequence under 6 other names. The record is from RNAcentral. Lineage: Bacteria; Bacillati; Bacillota; Clostridia; Eubacteriales; Oscillospiraceae.